Molecule: transfer RNA, 68 nt
Filed under: Pseudorimula sp. RSIO35641
Lineage: Eukaryota; Metazoa; Mollusca; Gastropoda; Lepetellida; Lepetodrilidae
Description: tRNA-Arg
Source: RNAcentral
CGACAAGAAAUGAAUACUCAUAAACGGUUUCGGCCCGUUCCCUGGUAGUGCAAGUCUACCCUUGUCUG